This 911-nucleotide ribosomal RNA is filed under the name uncultured bacterium. Its description in RNAcentral is "bacterial SSU rRNA". It matches the Rfam family "Bacterial small subunit ribosomal RNA", at positions 8 to 914 of the family's 1533-position model. The record is from RNAcentral.
AGAGUUUGAUCCUGGCUCAGAUUGAACGCUGGCGGCAGGCCUAACACAUGCAAGUCGAGCGGAUGAAGAGAGCUUGCUCUCUGAUUCAGCGGCGGACGGGUGAGUAAUGCCUAGGAAUCUGCCUGGUAGUGGGGGACAACGUUUCGAAAGGAACGCUAAUACCGCAUACGUCCUACGGGAGAAAGCAGGGGACCUUCGGGCCUUGCGCUAUCAGAUGAGCCUAGGUCGGAUUAGCUAGUUGGUGGGGUAAAGGCUCACCAAGGCGACGAUCCGUAACUGGUCUGAGAGGAUGAUCAGUCACACUGGAACUGAGACACGGUCCAGACUCCUACGGGAGGCAGCAGUGGGGAAUAUUGGACAAUGGGCGAAAGCCUGAUCCAGCCAUGCCGCGUGUGUGAAGAAGGUCUUCGGAUUGUAAAGCACUUUAAGUUGGGAGGAAGGGCAGUAAGUUAAUACCUUGCUGUUUUGACGUUACCGACAGAAUAAGCACCGGCUAACUUCGUGCCAGCAGCCGCGGUAAUACGAAGGGUGCAAGCGUUAAUCGGAAUUACUGGGCGUAAAGCGCGCGUAGGUGGCUCGUUAAGUUGGAUGUGAAAGCCCCGGGCUCAACCUGUGAACUGCAUCCAAAACUGGCGAGCUAGAGUAUGGCAGAGGGUGGUGGAAUUUCCUGUGUAGCGGUGAAAUGCGUAGAUAUAGGAAGGAACACCAGUGGCGAAGGCGACCACCUGGGCUAAUACUGACACUGAGGUGCGGAAGCGUGGGGAGCAAACAGGAUUAGAUACCCUGGUAGUCCACGCCGUAAACGAUGUCGACUAGCCGUUGGGAUCCUUGAGAUCUUAGUGGCGCAGCUAACGCAUUAAGUCGACCGCCUGGGGAGUACGGCCGCAAGGUUAAAACUCAAAUGAAUUGAC